RNAcentral lists this ribosomal RNA (377 nucleotides) under uncultured bacterium. Its description in RNAcentral is "bacterial SSU rRNA". It matches the Rfam family "Bacterial small subunit ribosomal RNA", at positions 29 to 418 of the family's 1533-position model. The record is from RNAcentral.
AAUCAACGCUGGCGGCGCGCUUAACACAUGCAAGUCGAGCGAGAAAGGGGAGCAAUCCCUGAGUACAGCGGCGUACGGGUGAGUAACACGUGGGUGAUCUACCUUCUAGUGUGGAAUAACCCUGGGAAACCGGGGCUAAUACCGCAUAAGCCUGUGAAGGGAAAGCAGCAAUGCGCUGGAAGAGGAGCCCGCGGCCGAUUAGCUAGUUGGUGAGGUAACGGCCCACCAAGGCGAUGAUCGGUAGCCGGCCUGAGAGGGCACACGGCCACACUGGCACUGAAACACGGGCCAGACUCCUACGGGAGGCAGCAGUGGGGAAGUCUUGCACAAUGGAGGCAACUCUGAUGCAGCGACGCCGCGUGAGCGAUGAAGCCCUU